UUAUAGACUUGCCUCAUCCUCUUCUUCAAAAAUAUAGCACUAUACGAUCAACAAGUAUAAAUAGUAGCAAGAAUGUGAAGGUCGUAAAACAGAGUAGAGGAAUAAAAGAUACAAUUCACAAUAUGACACUAGUUUCAUCAAUUUCAAUCUCCUCCAUAGUUUUUCCAAUUCAUCGAGAAAAUCAAGAAUCUUCAAAUAAACUUAAUUGGUUGUGCAUUUGGAAUUACACAGCAGGUCCAACCCUACUAGAAACAUGUAAAACAGUCAUGCCAUGAUCAUAAUUAUAAGCUGCAAGAAAUAUUGGACCAUUGCUAGGGAAAAAAAAGAUGCAUUCAGUAAUGCAUAGUGUUAGAACAUAAACAAUAGCCUUCUUCCUUGAGUUUCCUCCUAGGCUGCCUAACAUAAAGAAGGAUAAAGGUAGGACAUAAUUUUAAAUAUUUAAUUAUUAUUCCUAAUUGAUUAGAGAACAAUCCACCUUAGUUGCAACAGAAAUAAUCAAGUUCUCCGUAUACGAAAUUUGUAAAGAGUAAUUUCUUUCUUUAUGCUAAGUUAAAACCUUUUUCUCAAAUCAAGUCCUGGUGAAUACAAUGAAAUUGCAAAUGACUAAGUGAUCUUUAACAAAAUCAGUAGAUCAAGUGAAUUAUAUAGUUUUGUUUUAAUGGUUUCCGAUAAUCCAGUAUGCGUCUCAAUCUAAAAUUAGAUUCUCAACCACCCUGUCAUUGAUAAUCGACUUCCAAUUAGGCAAAUUUAGCAGAACCUCAAACAAGAGAACCAGAGGCAGCAAAUAUAGACGUAAUCCUAGCCAGAAUCCUUCCAAGAUGAAAUAAGCUAAAAUAGCAAUGUUUUGUUUCCCCAUAACACUUCAUACAAGAUCUUUCCUUAAAGUAUGUCAUGUAAUAAGGAAGAUAAGAUACUACACUAAAUAUCAACAGCUCCGGUAUUUAAGACAAGUAUCUAUAAACUGAUUGACUUAUAGAAACUGGGCUUAUGGGUCAAGAAAAUAUAUACUAUGACCUGCUGCAUUUGGUACGACUUUCUCUUUGCAGAUCAAAGGUUUCAUUUCUUAUUGGUUAAUAUAUGGAUAUUUCUUUUUAUGUGUUUAAAUCCCUACUGUACAUUCAACAAUAAAGGUUUCUAUUAAAGCAGAGAAUUACCUCUUUUUCUCCAUCUCAUGUUUCAGUGUAUUAGCAAGAGUUUUCUCUCCACACUUGCGAUAUCCUGGGACAAAAGAAAGAGCCUUUACUUUAUGUAAAGCUCACACAUUCUAACAACGCAAGUAUAAUUGGUAGCACCCAAAUAUACAAGUGGAACUACCAACCUGCACUAGCAGCUUAUAAAAAAGUAGUGAUUGAAUGAUAAUUGGUAGUACAAGUAAGGCUUUAUGGAUGCACGACACACAGAUUUAUUCUUGAAAUCCCUUAAAUAUUGCAAAGAGUUUCUUCUUCUGGUGUUUUGUCACUUGUAAUUACUACAACACUCUGAUAAAAAAAAAUGCUUCAUCAUUUCAUUAGUGCUAGCUUUAUAAUACAAUUAGUUUUCUCUAAACAUGGAUUUACUUCUUGAACCUCAAUAUUCCUUAGUGAAAGACACUAAGAUUUAUCAAUAAAACUAAGGAACAAAAGGGUCACUAUAGUUUUAAUUUUAAAAAGGCAACUAAUCCUCUUAUGCUCCUAGUUGAAAUCACAGUAAUGAUUAGAUUUCACUUAAUUUUCUAAGAGAACAGAUAACACCUAAUCUCACAAAACAUUCAAUUCCUUGGAACCCAAAAUAUUUAUUGAAACAAGAAACAAACACAAUAUCUUCCUCAAGAUGAACAAUAGUAAUACUCACAUCACUAGAUGUAACUAUUUCCACUCUGAGUUUCCAUCACUAUUGAUUUUAAAAUCAGUACAAUUGAAUUGCAUUAAUUCAAUUUUCAAACAUAGAUGCUAAAAAUAUGAAUUUAGACAGAGCAGGAACUAACUUACAAUGAGAUGUGAGAAUCAAAGUAACAUAACCAAAGAGAGAUCCGCAAAGCCAGAAGUAGCCUAUUCUUUAGUAGUAUUACAACCCAAAAAAUAUAGCCAAAGUAGCUGCUAAAAACUACAUCUAUCCCAAUUCCAAAAAGCACAAAUAUACCAAAAAAUAAGUAAAUUAUAGUCACGAUCUGCUUGUGAAUCUACAAUCAAUAGAAAGGAACAUAAUUAAAAAAAGGUAAAAUAGAAAUACCAACCGUAUAAGAGAUGAGACCAUUGAUUAGACUGGAAUGGAGCUAUAAGUACUGAUGUGGAUGAACCACACUAUCUUUAUUUAGAACCUGUAAGAAAAUGGUUAAUUUGUUGCCCUAAUUUUUUCUUUGAAAAAUUUGUCGAUGCUGAUUAGGACAUGCUAACUAAAAACCUAAAUCGAAGCAUUCAAGGAAUUGAAACCCUAAAUUAGAAACAACUAAAACUAGAGAUGAAGGAGCUUACGAUUUCAAGCCAUAGCCCCAACACUGGAAGAUAAGGUUGUCGCUCAUUUGAACCUCUUAACACAAAGCACGAGUCCAAGGGUUGAACUAAUUGGGGAAGGUGAGAGCCAAAAUAAAAAUAAAAAAGGGCAGGUAUUCUUUAGGAGGCCACAAGUCAAAUAAUUUAUUG
RNAcentral lists this long non-coding RNA (2618 nucleotides) under Nicotiana tabacum (common tobacco). RNAcentral describes it as "long non-coding RNA (NTAB_LNC003343)". The record is from RNAcentral. Lineage: Eukaryota; Viridiplantae; Streptophyta; Magnoliopsida; Solanales; Solanaceae.